This is a non-coding RNA of Acanthochromis polyacanthus (spiny chromis), 1112 nucleotides long. NCBI's taxonomy places the organism in Eukaryota, Metazoa, Chordata, Actinopteri, Pomacentridae. The record is from the annotation of a RefSeq genome assembly.
UAACUCUGACCCUAUUUGUUUCUCCAGUGGAGCCAUCUUUCCUCCAGAUCUCCAGCAUCCCUCAGAUCCCUGAGGUGGAGAGGCUGCUGGUUCUCUGCUGCCGGGUGGAGAACUUUUACCCCCAGGACGUCCACCUGGAGUGGUCCAGGAGUGACGGAGAACAAGUCCAAACUGUGACUCACUUUGGGCCUUUUCCCGACCGCAGUAGUAGACUCUUCAGUGUCUGGAGUAAAAUCCAGCUGCUGAUGGCCAGAGAGGACGAUAAGGCCGUCUACAGCUGUCGGGUUUACCAUCCCAGCUUCCCGACGCCGGGCUACAAGGACGUCCGGUACCACAUCAACACUCAAGGAACUCCUCCUGAUGUGAUGUUCAUUGAGUGUGACCCUCCAUGUCCUCUGGUGAACAAAGAGGUUACGCUGCAUCUGUGCAUCAAAGACUUCUGUCCUGAAGACGUGUCGGUGACAUGGACGAAAGACGGCGAGUCGCUUCUCUCCGGCGUCUUCAACACUCCUCCCAGCCUGAACAUCAACGGCCUCUACUCCAUGUUCAGUUUUCUCAAACUCACUCUGAACGAUGACGACCAGAGCUCCAGGUUCAGGUGUCGGGUGGUUCACAGCGCUCAGAAGGAACCUGAGGAGAGAUUUUUUCAACUGCAAAACCUGACAGACAGCUGAUCAUGUCCUAAAUCUACUCACUAAUAGAUUUUAGUCUGCAGUGCAAAAAUGUAAAAAAAUGUACAACAGAUACAUGGUUGUGAUGCUUGCAUUGAAUUAGCAUUGUUAUAAAUGUUCCGCUAUACAGUGCAAACAAAAGAAGAAAAAGUUGAGACACGGUUUACAUGAUCCUCACACACUUGGUUAUAAAGGUUGAGAUGCUGUGUAAAUAAACAGUAUAAACCAUAUGUUCAAUUGACAGUCACACAAAGACAACUGAAUGAAUGUUCCAUCUAAUUUUAAUUUUGAAAAAUACGUGGUUUUAGUCUAUUUAUGUUUUCCAAGUUUAUUCCAACUGUGUGGCAGUUAUAUUUACUAUUGCCACUCUCAAGCAAUUGUCUGUAAUGUUAAGAUUUUGUAAGAUUUAUGACUAAUAUAUUUCCUGUGGAAUCAUUUUUA